UCCAAGCAAUUACAAAUAAAUGAGUAUUAAUAACAAUUUUUCACAUUUACACGCUAUUUACACGCUAGGGAUCUGAAAGGGAGGGUUUAGAGAAUACAAACAACUAAUCUUUCUCAUCUUAUUUUCAUUCCUCCUCUCAAUGUCCAAUUUUUUUUCCUUCAACCUCCAGUUGAAAAAAUUUACAAUCUGUGAAAACCCUCCUUCUUCUUCUUCUUUUUUUUUAUUUUCCAUACCAAUACUAAUUUAUAUAGUUGUGGUGUUUGUUUCUGUUUCCAGAUCCAAAAGCCAUAACACUCAACUUCACCGGCAAAGCCAUAACAUGUCGUGGAUGCUCCGGCAACAACGAAAGUCACAAGAAAGUUUAUGAUUUGGCUUUAUUUGAGUUGAUAUAUUUAUGUUGAUUCUUGCUACGGGAUGAUUUAUUGGGUUUACACCUAUUGUUCAAAUAUUGUUCUAUUUUGCAUCUACUCACUGACAGUUAAUAUUAGUAUUUGAAUUCUUCAAUUGGAGAUGCAAAAUCAGAGAUCUUCAUAAUAGGUUGGUGGCCUUUUAUGGGAAAAAAAGCUAAAUUAAGGUGGGAAUGCUUCUUUGACUAUGAAAUUUCCUUUGUCAUCUGUGUAUACAUUCACAUGAGUAUUUUUCUGCAAAUAUGUUGUCUUCAUUUUUUUUUUCCGAAUGAAUCAUUUUGAAAGGUUUUUCUUUCUUUAAUUGAAUCAAUAUCC
Molecule: long non-coding RNA, 722 nt
Organism: Vicia villosa (hairy vetch)
Lineage: Eukaryota; Viridiplantae; Streptophyta; Magnoliopsida; Fabales; Fabaceae
Exons: 4
Source: RefSeq, a predicted model, not a curated record